This 260-nucleotide long non-coding RNA is filed under the name Homo sapiens (human). RNAcentral describes it as "non-protein coding lnc-ABCA5-3:1". Lineage: Eukaryota; Metazoa; Chordata; Mammalia; Primates; Hominidae. The record is from RNAcentral.
CAAUGAUCUCAACAAAUUUCUGGAUAGAAAGGACCUAUAGACAGAGAGAUGUACUUGCCGGAUUUUUUCAUCAACUGAAGAACAGGGGCAUCUGCUGCCACAGAGAGGAGAAGUUGCUCUUUUGCCUUUGGCCAUGGAUGUAUCAGGGUGGCUGUGUAUUCGCCUGGAGAGCCCACAGAUGCCACUGACACAGCAGCUGCUCUGACAAUAGCCCAUCAAUGGCUCCUGGAAAAACCUAGUAGACUGGCAGCUUUCAUUGC